UACGGAGGAUGCAAGCGUUAUCCGGAUUUAUUAGGUAUAAAGGGUGCGUAGGCGGACCUGUUAGUCAGUGGUGAAAUACUACGGCUUAACCGUAGAACUGCCAUUGAUACUGCAGGUCUUGAGUACAGUUGAGGUAGGCGGAAUGUGUGGUGUAGCGGUGAAAUGCUUAGAUAUCACACAGAACACCGAUUGCGAAGGCAGCUUACUAAGUUGUAACUGACGCUGAUGCACGAAAGCAUGGGGAGCAAACAGGAUUAGAUACCCUGGUAGUCCAUGCCGUAAACGAUGAUCACUCGCUGUACGUCCAUUAGGAUGUGUGGCUGAGCUAACGCAUUAAGUGAUCCACCUGGGGAGUACGGCGGCAACGCUG
Molecule: ribosomal RNA, 370 nt
Filed under: uncultured prokaryote
Description: bacterial SSU rRNA
Rfam family: Bacterial small subunit ribosomal RNA
Source: RNAcentral